Molecule: ribosomal RNA, 21 nt
Filed under: Bertiella sp. MM-2016a
Lineage: Eukaryota; Metazoa; Platyhelminthes; Cestoda; Cyclophyllidea; Anoplocephalidae
Also listed under: 2 other names
Description: partial 5.8S ribosomal RNA
Source: RNAcentral
UCAACUAUCACUGCGCGUAGU